Molecule: ribosomal RNA, 478 nt
Filed under: uncultured soil bacterium
Lineage: Bacteria
Description: bacterial SSU rRNA
Rfam family: Bacterial small subunit ribosomal RNA
Source: RNAcentral
AGAGUGAACGCUGGCGGCAGGCCUAACACAUGCAAGUCGAACGGCAGCACAGCAGUAGCAAUACUGUGGGUGGCGAGUGGCGGACGGGUGAGGAAUACAUCGGAAUCUACCUUGUCGUGGGGGAUAACGUAGGGAAACUUACGCUAAUACCGCAUACGAACUAUGGUUGAAAGCGGCGGACCGCAAGGCGUCGCGCGAUUGGAUGAGCCGAUGUCCGAUUAGCUAGUUGGCGGGGUAAAGGCCCACCAAGGCGACGAUCGGUAGCUGGUCUGAGAGGACGGCCAGCCACACGGGGACUGAGACACGGCCCCGACUCCUACGGGAGGCAGCAGCAAGGAAUUUUCGCAAUGGGCGAAAGCCUGACGGAGCAACGCCGCGUGCGGGAGGACGCCUUUCGGGGUGUAAACCGCUUUUUCUCGGGACGACGACCGACGGUACCCGAGGAAGAAGGCCCGGCUAACUACGUGCCAGCAGCCGC